This 76-nucleotide small nuclear RNA is filed under the name Neogale vison (American mink). Lineage: Eukaryota; Metazoa; Chordata; Mammalia; Carnivora; Mustelidae. The record is from RNAcentral.
AGCAACAAUACAGAGAAGUUUAGCAUGGCCCCUGAGCAAAGGUGACACACAGAUUCAUGAAGCAUUCCAUAUUUUA